AGAGUUUGAUCCUGGCUCAGGACGAACGCUGGCGGCGUGCUUAACACAUGCAAGUCGAACGGAAAGGCCCUUCGGGGUACUCGAGUGGCGAACGGGUGAGUAACACGUGGGUGAUCUGCCCUGCACUUUGGGAUAAGCCUGGGAAACUGGGUCUAAUACCGAAUAGGACCACGCGCUUCAUGGUGUGUGGUGGAAAGCUUUUGCGGUGUGGGAUGGGCCCGCGGCCUAUCAGCUUGUUGGUGGGGUAAUGGCCUACCAAGGCGACGACGGGUAGCCGGCCUGAGAGGGUGACCGGCCACACUGGGACUGAGAUACGGCCCAGACUCCUACGGGAGGCAGCAGUGGGGAAUAUUGCACAAUGGGCGCAAGCCUGAUGCAGCGACGCCGCGUGAGGGAUGACGGCCUUCGGGUUGUAAACCUCUUUCAAUAGGGACGAAGCGCAAGUGACGGUACCUAUAGAAGAAGCACCGGCCAACUACGUGCCAGCAGCCGCGGUAAUACGUAGGGUGCGAGCGUUGUCCGGAAUUACUGGGCGUAAAGAGCUCGUAGGUGGUUUGUCGCGUUGUUCGUGAAAUCUCACGGCUUAACUGUGAGCGUGCGGGCGAUACGGGCAGACUUGAGUACUGCAGGGGAGACUGGAAUUCCUGGUGUAGCGGUGGAAUGCGCAGAUAUCAGGAGGAACACCGGUGGCGAAGGCGGGUCUCUGGGCAGUAACUGACGCUGAGGAGCGAAAGCGUGGGGAGCGAACAGGAUUAGAUACCCUGGUAGUCC
RNAcentral lists this ribosomal RNA (771 nucleotides) under uncultured bacterium. RNAcentral's name for it is "bacterial SSU rRNA". It matches the Rfam family "Bacterial small subunit ribosomal RNA", at positions 8 to 796 of the family's 1533-position model. The record is from RNAcentral.